RNAcentral lists this ribosomal RNA (465 nucleotides) under Vreelandella stevensii. RNAcentral's name for it is "partial 16S ribosomal RNA". It matches the Rfam family "Bacterial small subunit ribosomal RNA", at positions 338 to 795 of the family's 1533-position model. The record is from RNAcentral. Lineage: Bacteria; Pseudomonadati; Pseudomonadota; Gammaproteobacteria; Oceanospirillales; Halomonadaceae.
CCUACGGGUGGCUGCAGUGGGGAAUAUUGGACAAUGGGGGGAACCCUGAUCCAGCCAUGCCGCGUGUGUGAAGAAGGCCCUCGGGUUGUAAAGCACUUUCAGUGAGGAAGAACGCCUGGUGGUUAAUACCCAUCAGGAAAGACAUCACUCACAGAAGAAGCACCGGCUAACUCCGUGCCAGCAGCCGCGGUAAUACGGAGGGUGCGAGCGUUAAUCGGAAUUACUGGGCGUAAAGCGCGCGUAGGUGGCUUGAUAAGCCGGUUGUGAAAGCCCCGGGCUCAACCUGGGAACGGCAUCCGGAACUGUCAAGCUAGAGUGCAGGAGAGGAAGGUAGAAUUCCCGGUGUAGCGGUGAAAUGCGUAGAGAUCGGGAGGAAUACCAGUGGCGAAGGCGGCCUUCUGGACUGACACUGACACUGGGGUGCGAAAGCGUGGGUAGCAAACAGGAUUAGAUACCCCAGUAGUC